UAGUCGUGGAAGGGGUGUCUGGUUUUAACCAAAAAAAAAAAAGAAAAAAGGACAGGGUGUAUGCUAUCUGGUGUCGGAUCUUCUAGUUCCUUACUCGCAGAGUUCAUUCUUGGUCCACCACAUACCAACCUUUCUUGCAAAAACUUAAUUAAACAAGAAGUAUCCCAAAUCCCAAGGCACCGAGUCGAAAAAAAGAAGCCCGUCGCAUUGAAUAUUUAUUUUGCUGACAAAAAAAAAAAAGCAUUGAAUAUUUGAAAUCGCAGAUCACAAGUAGGAAAACGAAAAGCCUUCAUUGACACUCAACCCUCGACACCCGUAACCCCUCUUCCCCUUUCUAUCCCCCUGCCCUCUCUGUGACGCCGGUUCUAAUUUUUUCCUGUAUUGCAGAUUCUGUGCUUCAUUCUCUGCGUCGCCGGACGGGUGGGUCUGAACUACGUUGUGGAACUUCUUGUGGUGGCAGGCAAUGGCUGAGGAUGCUAACCAUGGCCAACUUGGUGAAGAAAGCUCUGCAAUGUCUACUGACAAUAAAAAAGAGAGCGGUAAUGUAAAAAAGCAACGGAAAGGAAUACUGUCUCGAAUUUGGAAUGGACUAUUUAGGAUACGCGGUGAGGAUUUUGAGAAAAGAUUGCAACACAUUUCCAAGGAAGAAGCUUCUCUUCUUGCACGAAUGAAGGACAGAUCUCAGAACUGGCGGACGGUGGCAAAGCUUAUUACAUAUUCCUCUGUACUGUUGGAGGUGAGUCAAUUUGGUCCCUUUUAUUGGGUUAAAAGUCUGAUUAUGUAAUGGAAGUUAGGAAUGUCAGAUGAUGUGUUUUUUAGAAUUAUUAGCAUCAACAAAGUUAAUGAAUCGUUUGCAACUGUUCAGUGUACAUGAGAUGAUUAAUUCAAUCCCUUUCAAUUGUUCUCAUGCA
Long non-coding RNA from Macadamia integrifolia, 911 nucleotides. RefSeq lists it as uncharacterized. NCBI's taxonomy places the organism in Eukaryota, Viridiplantae, Streptophyta, Magnoliopsida, Proteales, Proteaceae. The transcript is spliced from 2 exons. The record is from RefSeq and is a predicted model, not a curated record.